AUUUUACAAGCAAACAUGAUGUAAAACAUAAAUGCAUAGUCACCUCAUAAUGAAUAAGAUUGAGGAUGUGGUCAGGACGAAUAUCACAGAUUCCUUUAUGUAACCAGUAUAUAUGUGCGCCUCUAUCUGCUUUGUAUUAAUGGUUAAGGUAGGUGCAAUUGUACACAAACAAUAAAGAUCUAAAAGCUCCACAGAAAGGAAUACACCACUUGAAGCCCAUAAUCAAGGAUAUAUAAAGGCCAGCCAAUCUAACUACACAACCAUCAAAGUCCAGCGCUACUUUCUCUGCCUUGAGAAGUACAUCAGUUCUAGGACUCCUCCCUAUUGGAACUAUGGGACCAUCCUGUACAUUGACAUUGAAAAGGUGUUUAGCUAAUAAAAAG
RNAcentral lists this long non-coding RNA (383 nucleotides) under Nicotiana tabacum (common tobacco). RNAcentral's name for it is "long non-coding RNA (NTAB_LNC014349)". Lineage: Eukaryota; Viridiplantae; Streptophyta; Magnoliopsida; Solanales; Solanaceae. The record is from RNAcentral.